GAUGAACGCUAGCGGCAGGCCUAAUACAUGCAAGUCGAACGAGAUUCUUUUCUUCGGAAGAGAUGACAGUGGCGCACGGGUGCGUAACGCGUAUGCAACCUACCCUUUACUGGGGGAUAGCCCGGAGAAAUUCGGAUUAAUACCCCAUGGUAUUCCAAGAUGGCAUCUGAAAGGAAUUAAAGAUUUAUUGGUAAAAGAUGGGCAUGCGUGACAUUAGCUAGUUGGUAAGGUAACGGCUUACCAAGGCAACGAUGUCUAGGGGUUCUGAGAGGAUGAUCCCCCACACUGGUACUGAGAUACGGACCAGACUCCUACGGGAGGCAGCAGUAGGGAAUAUUGGUCAAUGGGCGAGAGCCUGAACCAGCCAUGCCGCGUGCAGGAAGACGGCUUUCUGAGUUGUAAACUGCUUUUAUAUGGGAAGAAAAAGGCCAUGCGUGGCAAAUUGCCGGUACCAUAUGAAUAAGCACCGGCUAACUCCG
This 479-nucleotide ribosomal RNA is filed under the name uncultured Roseivirga sp. RNAcentral describes it as "bacterial SSU rRNA". It matches the Rfam family "Bacterial small subunit ribosomal RNA", at positions 28 to 505 of the family's 1533-position model. Lineage: Bacteria; Pseudomonadati; Bacteroidota; Cytophagia; Cytophagales; Roseivirgaceae. The record is from RNAcentral.